UAAUGCUCAUCCAUAAAAAAAAAAGUAAAAAUAUAUGACCACAACGAGUGCUUCUCCCAUAUCUUUUACCUCCGACUAAGCCGGGUCCUCCAGCCCACUUGUGGAUAUCCUGGCGCUCUUGAUGGGGGCAAAAGUCUGUUUUAAACCUUGUCUUCGUUUGACCCAGCGAAUUCGAACCCCAACCUUCAGAUCCCUGAAAUCGGCACCCCCACCUCUCUAAUCCCAGUUCUUUGCGCCCUUAGAGCCGUUCCCAAAUAGGGAUUCGCUGAUGUAUGACCGGGAUUACUGAAUCAGCUCUGGGGCGUGGGUCCAAGUGAUUUACGCAUGGGGAUAUGUCGCUGGGCCGGGCGAGCUCGCCUCCCACCUUCUUCCCUGACGGAUCAACUUCUCCCCUUCUCACCUGACGCCUAAACUUCUCCUCUGUGGCGGCGAUGGCGAACGGCGGCUGAUCGCAGCGACCUCCGACGAGCAGUCCUCCGAAAAAAGAGCAGGAUUUUGUUAUUCAGAACAUGGAUCCAACAGACGUGUUGGCUGUUAGAUUUCACUUUGGGGGCGAGUUCAUACGGAUUGGAGGGGUUGCUGAAGUAUACGUUGAGUAUACCAUCCAGAGUGGCUACAAGUUCAACAACUGGAAGAGGAAGAGGAGUUGGGAGAGGGACUAGAGCUGGAAGAGGGACUGGAGUUGGAAGAGGGACAGAAUCAGGAUCUAGAUUCAUGUCCUAUUUUACAGCUAGUGGAAUUACUAGAGGUGUUUGAUGAUGUGGUUAUUUUGGAAAAUGUCAGAAUGAUGUACUGGACCUUGGUAGUUUUUGUGUGAACAUGGACCUUGUGGUACUAUAAAUGACCACUAUUUAUGUUCAAUGUUGGCUGAUGCAGCAUGAUCCUUAAGUGCAGUGCAUUUGUACUGUAAAUUGGCAAAUUCAGACUUUUGCACUGAUAAAUACAGAAUUUUGUUGUAAAAA
Long non-coding RNA from Hordeum vulgare subsp. vulgare (domesticated barley), 962 nucleotides. RefSeq lists it as uncharacterized. The transcript has 2 exons. NCBI's taxonomy places the organism in Eukaryota, Viridiplantae, Streptophyta, Magnoliopsida, Poales, Poaceae. The record is from RefSeq and is a predicted model, not a curated record.